Molecule: non-coding RNA, 3447 nt
Organism: Lactuca sativa (garden lettuce)
Lineage: Eukaryota; Viridiplantae; Streptophyta; Magnoliopsida; Asterales; Asteraceae
Source: RefSeq, a predicted model, not a curated record
UCCCCAAAUCCCUUGGAGCAUUUUACUUUUAAGGUGAUGUGAUGGAUAAUCCGAUCAUUUAUAUAUAUACUAAUUCUAAACUAUAUGAUGAACAGUAUUUUGUUGUGAUUGGACCCCUUCCAAUUUUUUUUUUCUUUUUUUUAAUCGGUGUCUGUAACACCUGUUGUGUUACGUGGUGUUUACUUGCUUCCCCCACCGCCGUUCUGUCCAAGGUGUUACUUCUCGUAGCUUUCCCACCGCUUCAUUAUCCUCCAAAUAUCAUGGUUUCCCGAUUUCAGUUGAUAAUUUCAAUCGGUGAAGUUAAUCAAUUUUUUUUUGUUCGGGGUUAGCUUCAUCGACUGCACACAAUCAUGUUCCUUCGUCUCCUUCAACUACAUCGGUACAGAAAACCCUGCGUCACCGGAAACGCCAAAUUCCGUCUUCCUCUUAUGUUCUACAUCUCCUUUGCCACAACACAACGUUCCCAUCGACCACUCUCUCACCGUCAUUGCGCUAUAAUCGGUAGACCUCAAAGCUAACCUCAAGAUUAGGGCUUUGUGCUCCUUAAUCCUCUAUCUAACUCUUUCCAUUACGAUUGAAAGUAACGAUUACCAUUUCCUUCCUUUGAUGAUUUCCGAUUUUGAUGGUUCCUUACUCAUUUGUCACUCUUUUAUUCCUCUUCAAGCACUAGACUCUUCUCUUCAUUCUCAGGCUACCAAAGCUGCCGGAAGACUCGACAUCAAGAUGAGGUCGCCAUUUACAAAUCUAAAGGCGCCCUGAUAUGUUUACAACAUUCAUCGAUUGAAGGAAGGGGUUUUCAUCUUAAUUUUGGUUCAUCACUUUUGAUCGAUUAUUUAGUAAAUACAGGGUACAUCCCAAGUUUGGACUGAGAAAAUGGGAUCAAACGGGCGUCGUGGCGAGCCCCAACUACCAAAACCAGAUGGCUUGGCAAGACAAGGUUCAUCGUAUAACCUAACUUUAUAUGAAGCUCAACAGCAAUUAGGAGAUCUUGGAAAACCCUUACGUAGUAUGAAUCUUGAUGAACUUCUGGCUCCAAUACUCAUCGAGAAAGAAAACGGAGGUGGGUUCCUUCGAUUGUUGACUGCUAAAAAAGAAACACGAAGGAAAUAGGUGGUAAUGGCGUUUCUAUAGCAUCGUCCUUAAUAUUUUUUGCUUUGUUGGGUUUCCUCAGUUCAAGUGUCUUUGUGGCCUUCUAAAAAUAACAUCACUCUACAUCAUUCAUUCAUGGUUUUUUCGCUGGACAUGAAGGCGAAUCAAGGAAUUGGAGAUGGAAGGCAAUCGCAUCAGCCCAUUCCUCGAUUUUACAUCUUCCGGUUUUAUUUCAUGCCCUAAUUGUGUCUCUAUUAGCAGGUUCAUGGAAAACUUCCCACAAUCAGACGAGAUUUUAGAGUAGGUUCAUGGAAAGAUUCCCACAAUCACUCCAUCUUUCAACCCAACACCUACUCAGAUUCCUCUAGUAACCACCAUAGCCACCAUCUAUUUCUUCAUGUAUAUUCCCUAAUGUCUCUAAUCUUAGUUCCCUUCCCCACGAUAAUCUUCCCAGAGGUUUGGUGGUGGAAGGUGGAGGUGAAAUAUCCAGUUUUUAUGACAAGGAAGAAGCAAUUUUGGGUAUUGCUUUGAUUUUGAUUUUGGUUCCCAGUUUUAUUGAAAGGUUCCUGAUUUUCUUCUUUUUUCCUUCUGAUUUUGCAUGUAAAAGAUCUAUGACGAUUUAUAUAAGAUCUAUAAUAUUGUUUUUUUUAUUUUUUAUUUUUUUAUUUUAUUUUUUCUGUUCAUAACAUGAAGCUCGGUCCAAAUGGGGGGUUUAUGGUUGUCUGUGGUGACAACGUUCCAUUUGUUGGUUCUACGGAAGCCACUUGAAUUACCUCUAAGAGCCAUUUUUGUUUUUUUGACAAUGAAGCUCUUCAUCCAGGAUUUACCACAGAUCUUGGCUCAUUGAUUGAAGGUACGGGUUGUUGUAAUUAAUACAGGUUUUGCUAUGUUGAAUUUAUUAGUUCAGAAAUCUCAAGGAAGAGAUGAUGGUGAAAUUAUCCAAGUUUAAAGCCUGAACAAUCAACUUAAAGGAAAAAGUUACUGAUGUUAGUGGCUAGAUUGAUCUAUCCAUGAUACCAAGAAAUUACUUAAAACACUUGUCAGCUUUAACACCAAAAAAAAAGUGAGAUUGUGUUUCUAGUGGUAGGUCGGCUGAAAAAGAUGUAGAUCCAGCACAAUUCUCAAGAGAAUUUAUGAGAAAAGCUUCAUCUUUAGUUGAGGAUGAGGAGGUAUCAUCAUUUUAUUAUGAUAUUAUUAGUCGUACAAAUUAUAUGCUUCUUUUCUUUUUAUGAUUUCUUAAUAUCUAAUAUACACAACCGUUACUUUCACCUUGUAAUUUGCACUGUUUAACCCAAUUAAUUUGAUUCAUUUUCAUCUUCAUUUGAUGGAAAAUAUUAUUUCACUUGGAAAUGUUGAAGUUAAAUCUGAAGGAUCAAGACUCAAAUUACUUCUCACUUCAGUUUGAUGUUCUCUGUUUUGGGCUAUUUUAUAUGCUAAAUUGCCAAAAUAAUGUGGUGAUCAUAUCAUGGAAUUGUUUGAUAAGAACAUAUGCAUAAAAUUUUAAAUAGAAUAUAAAAAAGGUAAUUUUGCAUAUCAUUAUAUUGCUACUACCAUUUGUUGAAAUUUUGGCCCUGGAACAAUACACAUAAAUAUAAGUUAUAAUUUUAGGUAAAAAAAAGUGACAGAUUAAGACGUAACUCUCUUCCGCAUAGCAAGGAGAGUAUGUUGGAAAGGUGUCAAAUUUUUGUUACGUACUUAUACUUUUACGAAGCUGAUGAUAUUACACCAAGUUAGUGAAGUCUAUAUCAACAAAAGAGUGUUGAAGUGGAGUUAAGAAGCAAUCCAGACCAUCGACAUGUUUGAUCUUAUUUGCUCCUAUGGUCGUAUUAUUGCUCUUAUGCAUCAUUUCAAUUAGGUUAUACAAUAUUCUUCAUUGGAAUACUCACAUUUAUAAGGCAUUAUCUCCGAUUCACAUGUAUAGAUACCUUAAAAACAAACCCAAACCGGAUGUUGGAAUUUUUUUUAACGGGGCAUCUUAUUAUGCAUCACAGGGUCGGAAGCUAUGUUUGCUGAUCUUGGACACUUUUCUCAGUUGCCUAUCCAGGGACUUUUUCGAUUGUAAAACAAUGUUGUUGGGUGAUUGUUAAACCUUAUUUCAAAAUUGGAGAUGAACAACUAGAAUGUGAAACUAAAGCUGGCCCACCAGAGCUUUUGUGCUGGGAACUUAAAUGAAAGCAUUGGAUGUGCUCAACACAUUGGGAUUAUCUACAAGAUAUAACAUUGCACUUUUAUUUGAUUUUACUUGACCAUUUUCAUAUGUAUGUAUUUUUAGAAAUACCUGGUAUUAUAUGUAAAGCAUUGUAAAGUUUGUUGCUAUUUUUUGUUUCUUAAUAAAUAACUAUAAAAUACCUUCCAACC